ACCCUGCUGGGCACUGGACUCACAAUCCAGAGAUUGCUGGUUUGAAUCCCGCGUCGGGUG
RNAcentral lists this transfer RNA (60 nucleotides) under Culex quinquefasciatus (southern house mosquito). The record is from Rfam by way of RNAcentral. Lineage: Eukaryota; Metazoa; Arthropoda; Insecta; Diptera; Culicidae.